AAUCUGUUUUCUGUGUGACUGUCAACUAGGCGUAUUAAACAGGUGGACUCCAUACUAAAAUAAAAAUUAAUAUGACUGUGCCAUUGUGAAUACACAGAGCCCAUAAGGGGACAAGGGGGCAGAAAAAAAAAGUAAUAACUGCAUUGAGUCUAAUCAAAGAACAAACUAUAUAAACAAAGGAUUUGUAAUUAUUAAGCUAAAUAACACAUAUGUCCAGUAAAAUCCGCUUUAAGCAUUAGAAUAUGAGGGACUAGUGGGUCUCCUAAUCAUCUCCUAUAUCUAACUGGUGAAUUCUCUCCUGUUCCUUGACCAUCUUAGUCACUGUGUGGUGAGUGUACUGGCAUAGAAUGGCUGCCGUCGUAUUUUUUAGGUGCUACACCGUGGUGGUGGUUGAAGUGGCUCCCCAUUGUAAAGUACUUUGGGUGUCUUGAUAGGCAUGAUAUAAAUGUAACAUUCAUUCAUUCAAAGGUAACUUUGCUACAGUACUGGAGUUAAGGUUAAAACCCGAACCCGCUUUCUAGAAUAUUUCAGUAUCAAUCCGCAAAUCCCUAAACACAUGUUCAGGCAGGAAUACCAGGAAGGUAUUCCAGAAAACAAAGGAACUCAGAAACACGGAUGUGAAUGUGGAUGUGAAUCAUCCCACAACAUGUUCAGAUCAGUGAAACUGCUUCCAGUGGAGUCAUUAGUAAUCAUUCUGCCUGGUGUCCCAAUACAUAGAAAGUUAAUCUGGAAGGGGGAGAUGUGAACAUCCCAAGCAGCUAAUGCAGGG
Long non-coding RNA from Brienomyrus brachyistius, 769 nucleotides. RefSeq lists it as uncharacterized. The transcript is spliced from 2 exons. The record is from RefSeq and is a predicted model, not a curated record. NCBI's taxonomy places the organism in Eukaryota, Metazoa, Chordata, Actinopteri, Osteoglossiformes, Mormyridae.